ACACCCUCAAGCUAUGCUUGGUGUUGGGCGUCUGUCCCGCUCUCGAAGCGCGGACUCGCCUCAAAGUCAUUGGCGGCGGUCGUGCCGGCUCCUCGCGCAGCACAUUUGCGCUUCUCGGAGCUCCGGUGGAUCAGCAUCCAGCAAGCUACUUUUAUG
RNAcentral lists this unclassified non-coding RNA (156 nucleotides) under uncultured Dothideomycetes. Its description in RNAcentral is "sequence contains ITS2". Lineage: Eukaryota; Fungi; Ascomycota; Dothideomycetes. RNAcentral also lists the same sequence under 1 other name. The record is from RNAcentral.